CCCUUAGAUGUCCUGGGCCGCACGCGCGUUACACUGAUGCAUUCAACGAGCUUAUAACCUUGGCCGAGAGGCCUGGGCAAUCUUGUUAACGUGCAUCGUGAUAGGGAUAGAUUAUUGAAAUUAUUAAUCUUGAACGAGGAAUUCCUAGUAAACGCAGAUCAUCAAUCUGCAUUGAUUACGUCCCUGCCCUUUGUACACACCGCCCGUCGCACCUACCGAUUGGAUGGUCCGGUGAAGCCUCGGGAUUGUGGUUCUUGCCGCUUUAUUGUGGCGUGACCGAGAGAACUUGUCUAAACCUUAUCAUCUAGAGGAAGGUGAAGUCGUAACA
Molecule: ribosomal RNA, 328 nt
Filed under: uncultured eukaryote
Lineage: Eukaryota
Description: partial 18S ribosomal RNA
Rfam family: Eukaryotic small subunit ribosomal RNA
Source: RNAcentral